This 238-nucleotide ribosomal RNA is filed under the name uncultured bacterium. RNAcentral's name for it is "partial 16S ribosomal RNA". It matches the Rfam family "Bacterial small subunit ribosomal RNA", at positions 532 to 769 of the family's 1533-position model. The record is from RNAcentral.
GAGCAAGCGUUAUCCGGAUUUACUGGGUGUAAAGGGCGUGUAGGCGGGAAAGCAAGUCAGAUGUGAAACCCAGUGGCUCAACCACUGGCCUGCAUUUGAAACUGUUUUUCUUGAGUGAUGGAGAGGCAGGCGGAAUUCCGUGUGUAGCGGUGAAAUGCGUAGAUAUACGGAGGAACACCAGUGGCGAAGGCGGCCUGCUGGACAUUAACUGACGCUGAGGCGCGAAAGCGUGGGGAGC